UUAAGAGCUAAAGUAAGAAUGUAAGAAAAUAAGGGCUGGUGCAAGAAAAUAAUAGGCCUACACGCGGUGGUCCAUAUUUCAAACAAGCCUGCGUAUUUCCACCUAUCAUCCCUGUCCAUAAAUUCGUAUAAUCUCUUAAAACUACCUAAUGACUCAGCGCUAACAACCUGGUUCGUUUGUCUCCACCGUGUGGAUUAAUAUAUUCCUUAACUAUCUCGUUGUAUUAAACUGCUUGUAAUGGUUGACGUAUUCUGGUCUGCAUCCUUCAUUUGUAUCUUGUUUGUAUUCUUGUAUUCUUAAGCACUUCAUCUCAAAAUAAGGGCAAAGAUAGUUAGUCUUUGCCAUGCGGAUAAAAUAUUUCCUCAAACUACCUCGUUAAAUUAAUCUGCUUGUAAUUGUUGAUGUAUUCUGGUUUGUGUUCUCCAUUUGUAUCUUGUUCGUAUUGUUAAGCUCUUGGUUCUUUCACCAGGACUGUUAACAAAUGCCACAGAGGUGAUUAGUCAGGUUCUCAUGGGUGUUCUCAUUAAUGACGCAGGAUCCUCACCAAACCAUCACUGAGUCAUGAUAGUGCCAUUAUCACUUCGUUGACUUUCACUACAGGCUGUAAAACUAUCACCCAAGGAAACACACUUGUAAAUCCCUAACAGUUUGUACUAUACCCUGCUAAAACAUUCGUAAAACCACGAUAACUUCCAGUAAAUCAAAGGAAAUUGCCAAUAAACCAUGAAAAUACCCUUGCAAAACUCGUCACCUCACUAAUCAUAAUUUCAAUCACUAAAGUCACGAAAACAUCCUUGGAAAACCAAAUAACUUUAGCUCGGGUUUGGUAAAAGUAGUGGAGGUAUUUUCUUUUCUUCCCUUUUGUUGCCUCAGCCCGGUGUCCCUCUGAUAUGAAAAAACAAAAAAAACAAGACAUUGAAGCGUUCGAGAUAGCGAGAAAGUUACGAAGCUUCAGCAGACGUGAACUAACGCCUGGCUCUAGCCGCGUCGCUCUCUCUACCUCCGUCCGCCGCCCAGGUAAGGUCAUCCCAGCCACGUGCCGCCGCCUCGCUCCGCUGCUUCACAAGGCGCUCCACGCGUGCCACAGCCAGCCGGCGCUCCUUAUUGGCGGCCUGAAGACCCACGCACCCCAGCAACAAGGUGAAGGCUGUGCUCUGGCAGGUCGCUCUAGCUUGCCAUCAUAGGUGCUAGCCUGCCCUGAGCGCCCUCCUCUCUGCCUGUGACGCGCCGGGGGUGUCUGGCUGGGCGAGUGGCUCAAUUCAAAUAUUGUUUCAAUUGAACGUUGUUCUCGGUUAAGAACUUUUUUAAAUCGUUUAAUUCUGAUGUUUGGUUAUCAAAUAGUAAAAAUCCGUCUUUUUAAA
Molecule: long non-coding RNA, 1361 nt
Organism: Scylla paramamosain (green mud crab)
Lineage: Eukaryota; Metazoa; Arthropoda; Malacostraca; Decapoda; Portunidae
Exons: 2
Source: RefSeq, a predicted model, not a curated record